GUAACUAAGAGGUUUGACUCCAACUUGACACUUUUUUUUAAUUACUAUAAGCAUUAUGUUGUAUGUGCUGUGUUCCUUUCUAUUAUCUCUUUGCCUGUUUUUCCUUUUUGUAUCUUUCAGAAUUUAAGAAUUCAUGUGGUUGUUCUAGUACUUUAUACUUCUUUAAUCACACUCAUGACCCUUUUUUUCUUCUUAGAGAUUUACUAUUUGAUUGUCAAGCUUAAAAGUAAACUUUACUCUGCUCUACUACCUGCAUGACAAUCAGUGAAUUUACUCUCUUAUCUCUCACUUCCUCAGUCUUUUUAAAAUUUGAAUUACAUUUACUCUGAUAGAGUACUGAACAUUUGCAUUAUGUUAUUCUUCUCUUGAUGCACUUUGGUUUUACUCUUAGAGUGACAAUUAAACAUACUCAGUACUUUCUCUGACUCCUUUCUUGAAGUUUUCCAGACGGCUCUUGGUUAGAUGAAACUUGACUUCUAGUAGAUUUCUCAGAAAGCAUUUCUGAGGACAGAUUUCCCUCCAUUUUUGCAUGUUUAAAUCUUUUCUUCUAGCUUUGAUAUUUGAACGACUGCUUGGUUGAUAUAAAAUCCUUUGCUCAGACUCUUUUCUUGAGUUUCUUGAAAAUACUGUUCCAUUUCUGGCAGAAAUGGAGAAGCCUAACUUCAAAUCUUUCCUUCAAAUAUCAAGGCUUGCUCCAGGUAUUAAGUUGGGUGAGGUAGGGCUGACUUAAGCAUUCCAGUCAAUUUCCUGAGGGGCAUGAUGGGGCAUUUCAAUACGCAGAUCCUGGUCUUCUUUAAUUUCCGGAAAGUUUUCUGAAAUAUUAUUUCCGUUCUAUCUUUCUUCUUCAGAAACGACUCCAAUUGUGUAUAUUGGAUCAUCAUUGCUGUCUUCUGUAGUAAUCACUUUUAAUCUAUUUUUUAAAUGCCCUCUUUACAUCAUUAUUGUUGUCUUGACUGCUUUGUGUCUUUCCUUAUUAUAUUUUUAUUGAAAUAUAUUCUCAUUUGGGCCCUUUGUAAUUUAGUUUCCAUUUCUGUGAUGAUUUUGUCUUUUUCUUCCAUUUAUUUUCUAAGACUGAUUUCAUAGCUUUCUGAUUUUGGUCUAUUUCUGUUUGCAGUUUUUUAAGAUCUAAUUUGAAUUAUUUUUAUAUGUGCAAAAGCCUGAUUAAGGAUAUUUAACCCAAGUUCAGGUGUUGUGAUAUAAUUUUUUUCUGCUUUAUGGUUGGAUUUGGGGGAGAAUUUUCACCAAGUGAAAUAUUUAAAAAUCUCAUUUUGUUUCUUUUGAUAGCAACUUUGUGUGGAUACUCUAAUUUUCUGUUUAUUUUGCAAUAUUUAUCCUCCUGGACUAGCAGUACCGAUUGCAUGAAGACAGAGGUGAGGAAGGUUUACCAACAUGUUUUCAGGGGAAGACUUAACAGAAUUUUAUUAGGUCGAGCGUACCCUCUUAUUGAGAUCUAAAAUGCAAAUUUACUACAUGGUGUCUGAGACAGGAGAGGGGUUGGACUGCUUUCUGAGUUGGUGAUUCUCUUUGGUUUCGGUAGGACCAUUCGUUUCCACCUCUUUUUCCUCCUUUCCCUUUGCUAUUAAGCCUCCAAAUGAUGCCCCUUGGAAGUCUUUCCAUCAGAAGUAGCCUCUAUGCAAGAGGGCUGCCUUUGACUCCUUGCACCUUCAAGCCUUUUCUAAUUGAGGGCCCAGUAGCCAGGCUCAGAAUAAGUCUCUAGCAUCUUCUCAUCACUUCCCCACCCUGGGUGGUACUUACUCUGGUUCCUGCACCCCCUUUCUCUGUCCUGUACAGCAUGCGUUCUCCUGGUGACUCUGCUGGUUUGGUUUAUUUCCUGGCUUGUGUGUGAUUUUAAUUUUUGAAAUAGUAUUGGCUUCCUAAUUAUGCCCUAGUGGGUUAUGAGUGGUUUUAUUUACUCUUCUGUUGAUUUUUUUUUUUUUUUUUAGGAUGUAUGAAUUGAUCUGGAUUUAAGUACCUACUAUUAUCUUACUGGAAUUUGGAGCCCUCAUAAGCGUUUUUAAUUUAAAAUAAAUGUUAGAGAUUAUGUAUUCUAAACCACUCCAUUUACAAAUGAGAAACUUGGUCCUGGUGACAGCAAAUAUUUCUCUCAGCGUUAUACAGGAGCAGAGUCAAGACAAAACCAUACCUCCUUUACAUCCUUUAAGAAUAAAAUGCCCUUUCAAAACAGACUGCAUUAUGGCAGAAAUCCCCAAAUCAGAAGUCACAGGGGUUCCUGCCCACUUAUUUGUAUCCCGAGAGGCUACACAGAAUAGCAGUGGCCCUCCUGAGCUUGAAAUUCCAACAGAAGUCCAAGAAGAAGUACAAAUAUCUCUUAUCCUAGAGGAAUUUGACUUCAACUUAUCUUUGGCUGUGCAGGCAGGAGGAGUAGAGAUUCUCAGGGGUCUGAUCGAAGCUAGAGGUUUAUUUGCAUAUAGGAAGUUAAGGAAGGAGAGGAAAUAAGAACACAGAAUGUUCCUCUCCUCUUUCCUCCGAAUCCUUAGGGAUCAUUUUAUCACCAAUUUUUCAUUUGUUUCUCUGGCAAAGAAACCAGUGGGGGAGACCCAUGGAGUGAGGUCCAAAGCGCCAGCUAAGGCUCACUCUCUCAGUCCAAGAACACAAACAGUGAGUCUGUGAUGUGCUAGACACUCAGCUGGGCAUGGGGGGAAACAGUGAGAAGGAAAGCAAAUUGUUUUCCAAAAAGAGUUCACCAUUUAAUGGAACGAGUUUGCAUGCUUUAUACAACCAGUGUGGUAAGUGCUGUAUGAUGUAAAUACAACAAAUGGUGGGAGCACACAGGUGGAAGCAAGGAUUCUGCCUUGCUGAUUAAAUAGCAUUUGAGCUGAGUUUUAAAGAACGAAUAGGAGCUUACUAGAAAUAAAAUGCAGGAAAGCGUAUUUCAUAGUUAGUGAAUUGGAAGCAAAUGGGGAAUGGCUGGAAGAUUCGGCUUGACUUUGUACUAGAGGCUAGAUCUUAAAAGUCCCAGCAUAUCUCAAACUUCAAUGUGAAGGUAAUAGGAAGUGGUAAAGUGUCUUAAGUAGGGCAGUGACAGGGUGAAUCUUGUGUCUUAGAAUGCAGGGUGGAUUGGAAGAGGCAUGCCCGGAAGCUAGGAGUUGAAUUAGGAGGCUACUGACAUAUAACCGAAAGAUGAUGAAGUUCUAGACCUUGAUAAUGUCCUAGUCUCUGACUCUCUCAUGUCCAGCCACUACCUGCAGGGGGUCCAUCAGACGCCUUGACGCUACUUAUCCAAACCUAAACUCAUCAGUGACUCCUUUCUUCCUUAACAUGCAUUCCCUAUUUCAGUUCUCUCAAGCCAGAUGGGUCACUCGAGCCAGAUACGGAGAGUCUGCUUCUCCUUCACUCCAUGUAUCCAGUAGUCAUCUACAAGUAAAAAUUCAAUUUCUUAAAUAUCCCCCUCUCAAUUCCAAUUCAAUGGCCACUGCCUUGGUGAGGAUAUGAGGAGAAUAAUGUGGAAUGAAAAACCACAUUGGGGAUUGAUGAAUGAGAGGUUCGAAUGAAGUCACAAGACAUUCUGGAAAGGGAGUACAAGGGUGUGUUGGGGAGGCAGGAGUCUGAUCAGCGAGUGUGAUGUUUGAAGCUGAGGUUUCAGGGGUGGUAUGUUGAUGCGAAGGUUUUGGUGUGGCCCUGUGACUGAGGCUGAGGUGAGGGCAGGAUAUUACUAGAGAUGUGGAGCUUAAGGAGCUGAGUGGCCAGAGUUUUAGAAGGGUCAUCAAGAUAUAUAUGGAAGCCCCCAAAGAUAAUGACAGUGGUUAUGAUAGGGAUGAGUAGGAGAGUUACCCAGGUAGUUGUAGAAGUCCCAGUAGGGGACCAGAGAUAGAGAGGGAAACCUAGGGAACUUUGGGAGAUCCCUGUAAGCUAACGAUCACUCGAGAAAGCUAUUCAGAACGUUGGGGACUAAAACAGACUUGCCUAACUCUAUAACCAUAAGUAAAAGCAUGAGAUAUGCCUCAGUGAAAGAAAAAAUGAGACCUGCAUUCAGGUUCUGCAAAAUAAUGAUCCUUAGGACCAAGGACAGGAAUUUAAGGGAAAUAUGACAUUCCCAGAGGUCCUGCAGAGGCUCGGUGGUUAAUGAACCUGAGUAGUAGCCAAAAGGACGUGGGUUCCAUCCCUGGCCUCGCUCAGUGGGUUAAGGAUCUGGCGUUGCCCUAAGCUGUGCUGUAGGUCGCAGAUGUGGUUUGAUUCUGGCACUGCUGUGGCUGUGCUGUAGGCCGGUGGCUACAGCUCUGAGUCGACCCCUAGCCUGGGAACCUCCAUAUG
Molecule: long non-coding RNA, 4272 nt
Filed under: Sus scrofa (pig)
Lineage: Eukaryota; Metazoa; Chordata; Mammalia; Artiodactyla; Suidae
Description: lncRNA (ENSSSCG00000054521.1)
Source: RNAcentral